Long non-coding RNA from Apus apus (common swift), 1111 nucleotides. RefSeq lists it as uncharacterized. NCBI's taxonomy places the organism in Eukaryota, Metazoa, Chordata, Aves, Apodiformes, Apodidae. The transcript has 3 exons. The record is from RefSeq and is a predicted model, not a curated record.
CAGUCCUGGCCCGGCCGGGAGCGGGGCCGGGGCGCUGUGCGGGGCCGGGGGCGCGCAAACCACCCCGCACAGACACACGCGCAUCCGGAAUUUAAUGGCACUGGAGAACUGCCGCCGCCGAGCAUCCAGGUGGCCCCAUUCGACAAGGAACUGGGCGAAAAGCUCUCCGGAAAAAUAGCUAGAUUUGUCCUCCGAGUAACGUCUUCACCCGGUCACAGAGCCCGAACGCAACGGCAUCGCAUCGCAUCGCCGGUGCGCACGGGAGGGAUGGCAGCGCCCGCCUGGCCUCGCAGCCCCACGGGGCGCUUCGGGAGCGUCAAAGACAGGAGUCGCUAUGUACUGUAAUUACAGCCACACUGAGGAUUACAACACAAUCAUGUUUCAGCAUUGAAAUACAUAACAUACAUUUGAAAGAGACUGAAACGUAGAAGUAACAGCUAAGACUCAUGAACUGAUGGCACUGAUAACUGGUUUAUGUUCCUAGCUUCACAGGAGAGCAUGCAGGGGAAAGUAUGAGUCACAGCCUUUCAUACUGCAUUCCCCAGGAUUUAACAAGAAAUGCUUCCAAAAUACUCCAGCACAUACGGAAAAAAUGCUAAGGUGGCCUUAUAUGUUACAAGACAAUGGUUGUGACGGCCAGAAGAGGAAAACCAACACUGUGACUUGAAGCACUACCACACAUGGAUCUAUUCUUGCAGACAAAUGCAGGGUUUUGGGGCAGGAAGAAAGUAUUUUGCAAGUUUUGCACACUGUCAGCACUGGAGAGGCCACCCAGCUUUGAGAAUAUUGUUGUCAGGAAGAUACACCUCUAUAAAACUUGUGCUCAUGGCAAACUUUAAAAAUUGUAUUUGCUAAAUGCAUCGGUUCUCUCUUCAAAAAGGAUGUGGCUCAACACACUGCCCGUUGUAGGUUUUGGAAGACUUUUCAAAAUAUGCAGUUUCUUUAAGGUCUAUUUGUGCCACUUACUGGACUUCUAGUGAAUUACACUUUUAAGUGUUCCAGCCUUGAUUAAAUUAAAUCCAAGUCUUGACAGUUUAUAUUUGUCAUUAUUUUUAUUGACUUAUGGAAAAAAAAAACAAACCACACUCAAACUCUUACUAAAAAUAAAACU